Molecule: non-coding RNA, 117 nt
Organism: Blepharisma stoltei
Lineage: Eukaryota; Ciliophora; Heterotrichea; Heterotrichida; Blepharismidae
Source: the annotation of a GenBank genome assembly
UCAAUUACAAUGGUUGGAGUGAAUCAUUGAUCAAUCAAUACAAUCACUUAGGGUGGAGCAGAUCCUUUGAACACUGAUUUCUGUAAAGCCCUAUAGCUUCCCGCUUGGGUUGCUGAC